Molecule: non-coding RNA, 84 nt
Organism: Didymosphaeria variabile
Lineage: Eukaryota; Fungi; Ascomycota; Dothideomycetes; Pleosporales; Didymosphaeriaceae
Source: the annotation of a RefSeq genome assembly
UCCGAUAUGGUCUAGUGGCUAGGAUACAUCGCUCUCAUUCGAAGAGAUCCCGAUGUGGCCCGGGUUCGAUUCCCGGUGUCGGAA